This 518-nucleotide ribosomal RNA is filed under the name uncultured bacterium. RNAcentral describes it as "bacterial SSU rRNA". It matches the Rfam family "Bacterial small subunit ribosomal RNA", at positions 29 to 518 of the family's 1533-position model. The record is from RNAcentral.
ACGAACGCUGGCGGCGUGCCUAAUACAUGCAAGUCGAACGGUCUUUCUAUGGAAGCUUGCUUCCACUGAGAAGAUAGUGGCGAACGGGUGAGUAACACGUGGGUAACCUGCCCAUAAGAGGGGGGAUAACAUCCGGAAACGGGUGCUAAUACCGCAUAGUUUUCUUGAUCGCAUGAUCGGGAAAGGAAAGACGGCCUUUGUGCUGUCGCUUAUGGAUGGACCCGCGGCGUAUUAGUUAGUUGGUGAGGUAACGGCUCACCAAGACGAUGAUACGUAGCCGACCUGAGAGGGUGAUCGGCCACAUUGGGACUGAGACACGGCCCAAACUCCUACGGGAGGCAGCAGUAGGGAAUCUUCCGCAAUGGACGAAAGUCUGACGGAGCAACGCCGCGUGAGUGAAGAAGGUUUUUCCGGAUCGUAAAACUCUGUUGUCAGAGAAGAACAAGUUGGAGAGUAACUGCUCCAGCCUUGACGGUAUCUGACCAGAAAGCCACGGCUAACUACGUGCCAGCCGCAGC